CCCUUAAUCAGAAGUUUGUAACAGAAACUUGUUUUGUAUUGCAAGUUUGUAACUGCAACCACCGAAAUUCCCCUCUUUUGAUCAAGCCCUAGCUAUCAAAUUUCAGGAAUAAUGGCUCGAGUUUAUGUCGGUAAUCUGGAUCCUCAAGUCACCGAACGUGAGCUCGAGGAUGAAUUUCGAGUUUAUGGCGUUCUUCGCAGUGUGUGGGUUGCUCGAAGGCCACCGGGCUAUGCUUUUAUCGAAUUCGAUGACAAAAGGGAUGCACUUGAUGCAAUUCAAGCUCUUGAUGGAAGGAAUGGCUGGCGAGUGGAACUGUCUCGUAAUACCAAGGGAGGUGGAGGUCGUGGUGGACGUGGGCAUGGGGGUGAUGAUAUGAAAUGCUAUGAAUGUGGUGAACCUGGUCACUUUGCUCGUGAAUGUCGCUUGCGAGUUGGUUCAAGAGGGGUAGGUGGUGGACGGCGUCGUAGUCCUUCCCCUAUUCGUCAUCGUGGAAGUCCUAGUUAUGGCCGCAGGAGUUAUAGCCCACGUGGAUACAGCCCACGAGGAAGGAGGUCACCACUACCACCAAGGAAACGGAGCAUAUCACCUGCAUAUCGUCGUGGUCGAAGCUACAGUAGAUCACCACCAGUUCGUCGUGCUCGUCGUGCCUCACCCUAUGCUAAUGGAGUUUGAUGCUGAUAAAUGGUGGUGGAGCUUUUUUGGAGGCAACAAUUGCAGGAUCCAACAGUAGUACUACUAGGAAUAGAGACUCUUGAUAUUACUGUGCAUAUUGAAGGCUACUAAGUGCUAAAAGUUUGCUUCGGGGGCUUGGAUGACUUCUAUGCUGUUUUAAUGUAGGAAGUUUACUGGACAUCCGUUCUGCAUCAGUUUGCUCUCUACAGCUCUCUGAAUGUUUGUGAUUUAGGAUGCAACGGCAUCGUUUCGACUCUUACUGCUUAUCGUGCUCCGUUUUUUCAAAUCUGAUUGUCUGCGUCAUCAUCUGCUUGUCAUCGCUUCUUAUCUUCGUGUCAUCAUGACUCUGGAACCCCAGUACAUUGGCUGCCCUCAAAACUUAAACUUUCAUCAUGUAUGACCAAGCUGCUCCACUUAGAACACAUGCACUAUGCUUGCCCUGGUUGAAGGAGAUGAGAUCUCGUCAUUUUUCAUCUAGCUUGGUUUUGAGGGCCAUAGGAACCAUCAAAAGUUUGUUUCUGGAAGAUCUAUAAGCAUAAUACACAAAGUGUUGAGAAGGAAAUAAACUGCACAUGCCUCUUUUGCUUUUAAGAUUCGCAAUAUAGUAACAUACUUCUCAGGGGACAUUAUGGACUUGACGUCCCUGCUUGUCAAUGAGACUUGGUAAAAGUACUGCUCCAAAUGUUAUGUCCUCAGGGCAAAAUAACCUUUUCUCUUCCACAGUUUGCAGGACAUCAGUCGAAGGCCCUCAGCAGGUAAGGUUGUUUUAUUUGCCUGCUUGCUAUUUGGGUAAGUCGAAAACAUGUUUCUUAGUCACUAACAUGACAUUGCUUUUCUCAUCCUCAAAUUAUAGAUGUGAUGUGAACAUGAUCGUUGCAUUGUCAUUUCUUUUCAUAUUUUGUUUGCCCAACAUCAUUUGAUAUUUGCAUAGUUUGAGAUGGGGACCUAGGAAGGAUUUAUUCUCCUUUUGGUGUGCUUCACUGGUAGUAGACUAUCAAGAACCACUGAAUUGUUUUGAAAAUAGUUAUCUGCUUUGAGACUGUUUCCUGCCUAAUAUGCUUAAUAAAUCAGGCUAAUGCUUAUUGGUCUACUUCUUAAAUGUCUAUGGAACUUUUUCUUGGGAUUUCUCAACUUGGCUUGCCUACAACUUACACAGAGGGCUUCUUUUUUAUUUUGACUUGGAAGAGUAUCAAACUGUGCAAGUCUUUAAAUGAUAAAAAUUAGCAUGUUGCUUCUUUGCUUUCUUUUGAUUAUUUUUGAAUAGAUAUUGAAUGUUAUUGUGAUUAGCUUUCACAUGAAACUGAACACGUAUUAUAUAUGAAGUAAUGGCUGUGCUAAUGGCAAUGAGUUUGUGUGCAACUUGCGUGGAAGGUCCUAUGUUAAGCUAUCGUUCUAUUCUGGCUGGUACAAUUUUAUUUUUUUUCAUAGCACUUGUGACAUCUGUGCAUAAUUUCACCUAAACGCCUGUGUAAAUUGCUGCUUGCUGUAUAGAUGUUGGUUGGUUUUUUACCUUAAGUAUGAAGAAUCCAGUGCUUCUUGCUACUUUUUCCAUGUGAUGUUUGGGGACAUCUUUCGUAUGACCUCUUCAAAUUCAAGUGAAUGAUUGUGGAUAUGCUUGAUAACCCCAGACAAUUGUUCUAAGCUUGGAGAUGGAGACCAAUUGAUUCUGUUUAUUGUCACCGAGCCGAAUAUUAGUUACACAUGGUUCUUAGUGUGAUUUAUGUCUCGUAUUUGAAUUAGUAUAAUUUUUUUUGGUAAAUUAUGUAAUUAGGGGUGAUAGUCUUGGUGUAUAAUUUCUUUACUUUUCCGAGUAGGUUUGUAUCCGUUAUGUUGUUAGUACGUAAAUUGAAUAGUAAAUCUCAAUUUAUUCUUGGUUCAAAAUUUAACCUGGCACCUAUUCCUUA
Molecule: RNA transcript, 2576 nt
Organism: Chenopodium quinoa (quinoa)
Lineage: Eukaryota; Viridiplantae; Streptophyta; Magnoliopsida; Caryophyllales; Amaranthaceae
Gene name: serine/arginine-rich splicing factor RSZ22-like
Exons: 7
Source: RefSeq, a predicted model, not a curated record